RNAcentral lists this transfer RNA (77 nucleotides) under compost metagenome. Its description in RNAcentral is "tRNA-Lys". It matches the Rfam family "tRNA". From Rfam's summary of the family: Transfer RNA (tRNA) molecules are approximately 80 nucleotides in length. The record is from RNAcentral.
CGGGGCGUAGCUCAGCUGGCCGCAGCGGCGGACUCUUAAUCCGUAGGUCGCAGGUUCGAACCCUGCCGCCCCGACCA